CGCUCUUGACACCAUACCCCCUAUAAGAGGUCCAGCCUGCCCAGUGAAAUUUUAACGGCCGCGGUACUCUGACCGUGCGAAGGUAGCAUAAUCACUUGUUCUUUAAAUGAGGACUAGUAUCAACGGCAUCACGAGGAUUUUACUGUCUCCUUUUUCCUAUCGGUGAAACUGAUCUCCCCGUGAAGAAGCGGGGAUAAUAUUAUAAGACGAGAAGACCCCAUGGAGCUUUAAACCCAGUAACACCUCAAACACACCCCUUCCCAAAAGUUUUAAUGUUCUGUUCACUGGUUUUAGGUUGGGGCGACCGCGGAGUACAACUUAACCUCCACAGCGCACGGAACUAAUUCCUUACCUGAGAGCUACACCUCAAAGAAUUAUUACAUUAACGUAAAAUGAUCCAAUAUUUUCCUUAUUGAUUAAUGAACCAAGUUACCCUGGGGAUAACAGCGCAAUCCAUUUCUAGAGCCCCUAUCGACAAAUGGGUUUACGACCUCGAUGUUGGAUCAGGGUAUCCCAGUGGUGCAGCCGCUACUAAUGGUUUGUUUGUUCAACAAUUAAAACC
Molecule: ribosomal RNA, 562 nt
Filed under: Fejervarya limnocharis (Boie's wart frog)
Lineage: Eukaryota; Metazoa; Chordata; Amphibia; Anura; Dicroglossidae
Description: partial 16S rRNA
Rfam family: Bacterial large subunit ribosomal RNA
Source: RNAcentral